RNAcentral lists this transfer RNA (72 nucleotides) under Camelus bactrianus (Bactrian camel). It matches the Rfam family "tRNA". Rfam says of the family: Transfer RNA (tRNA) molecules are approximately 80 nucleotides in length. Their secondary structure includes four short double-helical elements and three loops (D, anti-codon, and T loops). The record is from Rfam by way of RNAcentral. Lineage: Eukaryota; Metazoa; Chordata; Mammalia; Artiodactyla; Camelidae. RNAcentral also lists the same sequence under 1 other name.
GUGGUCAUAGCUCAGUGGUAGAGCACAUGUUUAACACGCACGAGGUCCUGGGUUCAGUUCCCAGUACCUCCA